Blastocladiella emersonii ATCC 22665 is the source of this 113-nucleotide non-coding RNA. Lineage: Eukaryota; Fungi; Blastocladiomycota; Blastocladiomycetes; Blastocladiales; Blastocladiaceae. The record is from the annotation of a GenBank genome assembly.
GUGGAGGUGGCGGAGUUGGGCACGCACGGAACUUUGAACAAUAUGUAACGGAUGGGACCCGCGUUACAUAUUGCUCAAAGUUCCGGACGGGGGUUCAAAUCCCUCCCUCCACA